RNAcentral lists this unclassified non-coding RNA (324 nucleotides) under uncultured fungus. RNAcentral's name for it is "partial contains 5.8S ribosomal RNA and internal transcribed spacer 2". The stretch from base 1 to 133 matches the Rfam family "5.8S ribosomal RNA", at positions 22 to 154 of the family's 154-position model. Lineage: Eukaryota; Fungi. The record is from RNAcentral.
UGGCUCCAGCAUCGAUGAAGAACGCAGCGAAAUGCGAUAAGUAAUGUGAAUUGCAGAAUUCAGUGAAUCAUCGAGUCUUUGAACGCACAUUGCGCCUCCCGGCAUUCCGGAGGGCAUGCCUGUUCGAGCGUCAUUACACCCCUCAAGCCUCGCUUGGUGUUGGGCGGCAGUCUCCCCGAGACCCGCCCGGAAUCUAGCGGCUUUGUCGUCCACCUUCGAGCGCAUUAAGUCUAACUCGCUUCCGGAGUGUGGGCGGCCGAAGCCGGUGAAGUAGGUGUCUAGCACCCGACAAUUGACCUCGGAUCAGGUAGGAAUACCCGCUGA